RNA transcript from Andrographis paniculata, 2646 nucleotides. RefSeq lists it as uncharacterized. The transcript has 7 exons. The record is from RefSeq and is a predicted model, not a curated record. Lineage: Eukaryota; Viridiplantae; Streptophyta; Magnoliopsida; Lamiales; Acanthaceae.
UGAUAAAAUGCGAUUUAAAUUCCUUGUCAGAUCAAUUAGUACGUCAAAUGCUGACGUCAUUCAUGCUCUUCAAGGCUUGAGCGCGAAGUUGCUGCAACUUCGAGCUACAGUUUUGCAGCGUUCCUCUCCUGAUCGGAGAAAGCAGUGGAGUGGAGUUGGUUGGGGUGAUAAUUGUGCGGAUCGUGUUUCUCUCUUCUUGUUGUGAUCUCUGGUCUAAUUUCAGCUGGUUUCAUCUAUGCGUCCGAUUUUGGAGGAUGGCUCAUUCUUCUGCACUCUAGACGCGUUGAGAGAACAAUAAUGAAGGUGUACUAUCGAAAGUUUGCUGGUGAUAGUUCAAUAGGAAUAUGGUUUGUUCGAUUAAGCUGCGGGGGGAAAUGUGAUUGCAGUGGUUGUGAGAUUGUGAUUAAACAUUACUUGGAGUAUAUUAUAUCGUAUGGAGUGCGGAACAUGGAUAACUGGCCAAUAAAAUACCAGGUAAAAGAGACAUCAAGUUUUGACGAAGUGUGGCCAUUGCUUAUCAGACAAACAUUACUACCAACUGAAGACCAAGUGAUAGAAGUUGCCUUGGGAUCAGAAGUUGAUUCAAAGAUGACCAAAGUCAGUGGUCUGUUGAUGGAAAAUGAACAAUGACUAAUGGAAGUCUUUAGGAAGUACAAAGAUUGUUCUCUUGGCAAUACAGGAGAUAACUGCCUUUAUCGAGGCACUUGGAAAACAUUAGUUGCCAAAUGGCCAGGAUUUCAGUCUUACAAACAGGAGCCAUGCUGUUUCAACCCAUCCAAUUUCCACACGAAGAUUGAAAAGCCUGUUAAUGCAUGCUUCUUACUACUUGUAGGUUUCUCAUCCAUUUCAGGUGUCAUGGGAUAAGUCUUUUUUGGAUGCUGUGAACUUGAUGGUUCAUACUGCAUUUCCACCUGUGUUUCAGUGUUAUUUAGUGCUCUCGACAAAGCUUUUAGUAAAGGAUUGUAAUUCAGCAUCCCCAGAUACUUGAUUACUGCAAAGAGGGGAGAAUAUGAAACCUUCUUACAUCUGCUGGAUGGUUUGGCAGAUCUCUCUUUCAUCACCCAUAAUUCGUUAUGAGGAUAAGGACAUGGAGGAGGCAUCAGCAGUUGUAUUCCCUGAUCGUGUUUGGUUGCAGGCACCUGUUGUAGCAUCGAAGAUCAAGUUAGUAUGUAUACUGCCCUUUUGAGUAGACACUUAAUGUGAUACAAACAAGGCUAUAAUGUCUUUCCGGUUCAGCGGCAUCUGGACCGUCCAUUUAUUUCUAACAUUGGAAGAGCUAAUUCUGUCAUCUGGAAAUAUCCAUCUCAAUUCAGGAAGCUGCUAAAAUGAUGUGUAAGGCAGCUGCAUUUUCGGAGCUGUUAACUAUUUCACCAAUUGCCACUCAGUAAGAAGCAUUCACUGUAAGCAACGCAGUAUAUUAGUCCAUUCUUAAUCCUACUUCCAUAUCUAUAUACACUUCUUGAAAAAUUUCUGUUCCCUAAAAGAAUUGGACAUGGUUAGUUCCCUAAAAUUUUAAAAUCUCUAUGAAUGAGUAGUGAAGAAAAACAAUAUGUUGAAGGGGGGCCUUGUUUAGAAUAUCACACAGACCAACUUCUAAUAAGCAGACAAAUUUGGGAAGGAAACUAUGGGGCCAAAGUUUGUCACAUUUGGCAUGUCCAUUUUUAAAAAUCCUUUUCACAAUCGAAUCAUGCUUUUUUGUCUUAGAUUUGUUUUUAUUAUAUUGUAUAAAUAUAUACAGCCUCCCUUUUCUUUUUGUAGGUUAAGUAACCUCCAUUGUUAUUGUCUGACUAGUAGUGUUUUCCCACUUGUGUCAUAUUUGGCCUAAAGGUUUAAGGUCAUUAUUGCAUAAUCUCUAAUAUUCAAAUUUGGCAAUUGUGGUGUUUGAUUCAUAAUUAACCACUUAAUCACCUGAUCAUUUUAUUUAAUAAGGUGAAUUCUUGAUGAAAAUAAUUCCCUUUCCGCCAGAGUUAGUUUUGAAGCCCAUCAUUACUGCUCUGCCUUACUAUUUCAUUAUUAUUGUUAAGUUUAUUUUAAAUAAAAAUGUGAAAAAUUCUGUCUGAAAGAAGACAAAACUGGGAAGGUGAAGUUGUCGCUGUCUUCUAAAAAAGUUCAGAGUUGGAUAAUGAAAGAAAAUGACAUCCCUGGAAAUUUGGCACACCAGAAAAUGACCCAGUGUGGUUUUUAAUCUUUUACUAUCUUGGUUAAUUGGUAAAAUACAAUCACUUGGUUUGAAAUUUUAAUAAUUUGAUGGUGUCGUUUUAAGCUGAACAAAGUGACAGACAAGACACACAUGUGAGGACACCAUUCCUUACCCCAAUUUCUGCUUGGUUCGAACUUCAAAAUUAGGAUACCCCACUUUCUUAUAUAUUCAUUUAUUUUUUAUAAUAGAUAAUCAUUUUGUUUGGUAGGUAGGUGAGUUUUCAGUUACAUGUGUAGCUUCAAGUAUUUCUCAAUUUUCAUUUAAUAAUAAAUUAUCCUUUUCUCGUAUACAUAUAUAUAUAUAUAUGCAUUUUUUAAUAAUAAAUAAUAAUAAUAAUAUCCUUGUCCUAUUUUCAUUUUUAUUUCCCCAGACACGUGUGUUGUUCUGUAGACUUGUUUAUGGCUAUGUAAAGGCCAACUCAUCUCCAUAAAACUUAUCCUUUUUUA